Molecule: transfer RNA, 94 nt
Filed under: Chloroflexota bacterium
Lineage: Bacteria; Bacillati; Chloroflexota
Description: Chloroflexi bacterium tRNA-Ser
Rfam family: tRNA
About the family: Transfer RNA (tRNA) molecules are approximately 80 nucleotides in length.
Source: RNAcentral
GGAGGAGUCGCAUAGUUGGUCUAGUGCGGCCGCCUGCUAAGCGGUUACUCGGCUUUUAACCGGGUCGCGGGUUCGAAUCCCGCCUCCUCCGCCA